UCCCUGGUGGCUCAGAGGUUAAAGCAUCUGCCUGGAAUGCAGGCGACCCGGGUUUGAUCCCUGGGUUGGAAA
Molecule: transfer RNA, 72 nt
Organism: Ovis aries (sheep)
Lineage: Eukaryota; Metazoa; Chordata; Mammalia; Artiodactyla; Bovidae
Rfam family: tRNA
About the family: Transfer RNA (tRNA) molecules are approximately 80 nucleotides in length. Their secondary structure includes four short double-helical elements and three loops (D, anti-codon, and T loops).
Source: Rfam